This is a non-coding RNA of Kogia breviceps (pygmy sperm whale), 469 nucleotides long. NCBI's taxonomy places the organism in Eukaryota, Metazoa, Chordata, Mammalia, Artiodactyla, Physeteridae. The record is from RefSeq and is a predicted model, not a curated record.
AGCUCAUGCUACUGGCCACGGGACUAACCUCGUCUCAAGGAGUUAAGGAGCUGGCCGGUGCCCUCCUCUCUCCUAGACUCCCCUGACUCUCUUCCUGCCACCCAGCGCUGGGGGUCCCAGGAGUCGCACGCCACCGUGACCACACUGAAAGACCCCGGACACCUGCGGCAGGCCGGGCCCACCGGCCAGAGUCAGGCACAUUAUCAGAAGAAUGCAUGAAGCAAUGAGGAGUUACCAAGAGCAGAGGCUUCAAGUAGCGCCCUAAUGAAGAGCCAGGAGAUACAUUUCAUUACAUACAAGCUGUCUUUUCCUAAACGUGAUGGAAGCCAUUGCUCAUCAGAGAUUGUGUCAUUAAAAUGGGGCUUUUAUACCUGAGGGAAGACAUCUUGAUUCUGCUGGCCCUGAAAGAUUUGAAGAAAUACAUCAGAAUGAAUGGGGCCCUGUUACCAUCCCUCCUGCCACAGCUUUC